RNAcentral lists this long non-coding RNA (337 nucleotides) under Elaeis guineensis (African oil palm). RNAcentral's name for it is "long non-coding RNA (EGUI_LNC028257)". Lineage: Eukaryota; Viridiplantae; Streptophyta; Magnoliopsida; Arecales; Arecaceae. The record is from RNAcentral.
AGGCUGAGAAGAUGAGGGUGGAUGAGAAUCUCCAAAUGGCUGCCCCUAGGCAUCCCUCGCAGAAAUCAUCGCCUGAACUAAUCUGGCUAUCUCCUCUCAGAGUAGUGAAAUGGCCUCUAAAGUGAGUCGCUGAAUCUAUGCAUUGACCAUAUCCAUAAUCUAGGUAAAAACCCUUUCUACUAGAGUGUCCUCAUCCAAUCUGAAAGAUAGUCUGACUGAAGCCUCUAAACGAUUGAUGACUAUCUCUGCUGUUAGUAACUCCUCAGAUUUGAUAUCUGUCAUUAGGAAUAGCUGUCGGAGCCUCAUCCUCAUUUGAAUCCUUAUUCUAAGCCUCUCC